Molecule: long non-coding RNA, 1487 nt
Filed under: Homo sapiens (human)
Lineage: Eukaryota; Metazoa; Chordata; Mammalia; Primates; Hominidae
Description: HSALNT0311756
Source: RNAcentral
GUGAGAAGCUGCUACUGACCAGCAGAGGGAAGUGGCGGCAGCUGGUGUUGGGGCUGAGGGCUUCCAGGCCAGGCUGGGAAAGGGCUCUCAGUGUAGCAAGGGCAGGGAGAAGGCCCAGGCUGGAAGGUCCACUCCUCAUUCUCCCUGCCCCACCCUGCCAUGCCCAUCCUGAUGGUCACCAUGGCCUGUACCAGGCCUCCGGCGGAGAAGCUGGGCACCACGUACUUCACGUCAAAGUCGCGAGAGGCCGCGUAGGGGGUGCGCGGGCACUGCCAGUCCUCGCCCGCCGCGGGCUUGGCAGGCAACAGCAGCAGCAACAGGAAGGACUGAGGCAGCGGCGGGAGGAGCUCCAUCGAGGCGAGCUGGGACCCUAGAGGAUCCCUACCGGCCUGGGCCUGGACCUGGGCGUGGGCCUGGCUGGGGGCCCGACUCGAGGUCUGGACUGGGCCAAAUUUAAGCAGCGGUCCCGACAGCCCCAAGAUAGCGGACCCCCGCCCCAGGUUCCUGUGAAACCCAAAUCCCUUCCCGGCCCUCGGGUCUGAGCACCUGACGCCUGCGGACGCACGACAGCAACGCCCCAGCCGCCUCACCUGCCGCCCCAGCCGCCGCUGUACACUGGCGCUUAGCGCUCAGCCGACCCGAGGGCGCCGGGCUGGGCGGGCGGAGUCGGGCCGUGGGGGCGGGGCCGCGAGGAAGGCUUGGCCUAGCCCAGGCCCUCCGCCCAUCCGACUCUUCCGGCCCUUGGAGGCCUGGCUCCUGUACCUUCACCUGGCGUCUUGGCGCCUUUUUCUCAGCGGCCUGUGGGUGGAUGUGCAUGGUGUGGCCUGGAGAGAGGGGGAUUCUCACUCUCUCCAAAGGCAAAGCCCAUGUCAGAGGCAACUUUGGUCCUCGCCGCAGCCCCAUGAGGCCAGCAGUGUUGUUAUCUUCUGUUCAGGAUCAAGCCACUGUUCCCUUCUGCCACUGUCUGCCAUGGAUGAUGCUUCUCUGCAACUUACAGCCCACCAGUCUCCUCUCAUCGUACUGGAAAGAAGACCCAAACCACUCAUGGCAGCAGUGGUGGCUGAAGCUCCACGUGCAAACAGAUAGGGAAGCAGAGCCUGUAUCCUGACAGCUGGCCUGGUGGCCACUCCUGCACUGAGCCUGAAGGACCGCAGAGCACAUGGAGGGUUGGGCACCACUGCCAACAGCAUCACCCCACACAGAAUAAAACCAAAGAAAGAAGGGAAAGCCAUCAGCCAUGUUGUAAGGACAUGUAAGCAGCUCUAUGGAGAGAACUUCAUGGCAAGGGACUGAGACCUCCUGUGAACAGCCAGUACCAACUUGCUAGUCAUGAGUGAGUCAUCUCGGAAGCAGAUCAUCUAGGCCCAGUCAAACCUUCAGAUGACUUCAACGUAAUAAGAGACCCUGAGCUUGAGCCAUCCAGCUAAGCCACUCCCAAAUUCUUGACCCACAAGAACUGUAUGAGAUAAUAAAUAUUGUUGUUUUAA